This 21-nucleotide small RNA is filed under the name Arabidopsis thaliana (thale cress). RNAcentral describes it as "AGO1_2044". The record is from RNAcentral. Lineage: Eukaryota; Viridiplantae; Streptophyta; Magnoliopsida; Brassicales; Brassicaceae.
UCGCACAAUUGGUCAUCGCGC